UAUGUGCCAACAGUCAGCCACGAGGCUUCAUCGUCCUCACAUUUACAGGAAAUUUAUCUUCAUACAUGAAUUUAUGAAAGAUUGUGCUACGGGAUAGGACUAGACCAUUUUUGUUGCAAAGUAAUAAGAUACCUGCUUUGGAGAACACUCAUAAUAUCGAAACACAAAGAUAGACAAUUAGCAAUUUGCGAACUGCAUGUGGUUUAUUCUACACUUGCCUGUUCUGUUAAGAUGGAAGAAUACAACUUCCAUUAUUGGACUUUACUAAGCCUCAUGAGAUGCUUUUGUUUUUAAUAAAGAGCAUAGAGUUGUGAUUAAUAAAUUUAUAUAAUGAAGGAAUAGAUUUAUUGACAUGGUUGUUGAAUGUGCAGCUACUCGAAGAGAAAAGUUGCCCAGUAGGUACAAAUCUGUUGUAGCUUCAUAGAUUGUACUUACGUGUAAAACAUCCAAUUGAUAUUCACGAAUUAAAUUCAUGAUCCGUCUCUUAAUUAAUAAAUAAUUAUACGUAUUAGAGUUAGUAUAUCAUGAAAAAUAAUCAAGAACAUAGCACAUUUCUUCUAUAGGAGAACAAUAAUCAUCAUUGCAUUUUCAAGUGAAUUUACCAAGUCAAUUUAUUACAACUUCAGUCUAUUUCAUUUUCAAUUUACUUUGACGUAAAACUACCUUAUUUUUCACCUAUUACGAAUCAAUCUACCCUAAUUUUAGUCUACAAUACGGAAUCGAAUGGUCGAAGUACCAGAGGACCGGACUUUCUUUCAACAAACAACACUUCUAAAUCUGUUAAAGAAGAUAGUUAUUAAGCGAAGAAGAAAGAGAAGCUACAAACGAAGAAUGUAACAUGCCGGAAGAAUAAAAUAUUGUGAAUCUAUGACAGAUGAAUAUCUAAAAAGUAAAGGGUUUUUUGUAGACCAAAUCUUUUUGUAAUAAUUCGUGCAUCUAAGCUUUUAAAAAUUAUCGGUAUGUUUCUUUCGAAUUUAUUUAUAUUUUAAACUAUGCAUUAAAUUUUGGAAAUCUAAUAUACCUAUGUUACUUAUUAGGUGCUGCCAGAGGUUU
Vespula pensylvanica (western yellowjacket) is the source of this 1053-nucleotide long non-coding RNA. RefSeq lists it as uncharacterized. The record is from RefSeq and is a predicted model, not a curated record. NCBI's taxonomy places the organism in Eukaryota, Metazoa, Arthropoda, Insecta, Hymenoptera, Vespidae. The transcript has 7 exons.